GUGUAAACGCGUUGAACCAUUCCAAUUGGCGGCGGAGACGGAACCAUGAAGUGGGUUUCACUGUUAUGUGUUUUUUUGUCCAUCAUGUACUUGGGUCUGUGUGAGGAGUCAGACCAAGUCGACUAUACCAGCCGGUAUGCCGAGCUGGCUUCACCGGUCCCGGAACACGUCAACAUCCAAGAUCUGAUAGCCAGGCUGACGGCAGCCAGCCUCGGACUACGGUUCUAACCGCCAAUCACCACAUAAUGUGAUGUGGUACAAACUCCCCACUAACUUUUGAGUUCCAAAAUGUUUAUAUAAUUUUAUGUUUAAUUUUUUAUGAAUUUUUAUUAAAGUGUUGAAGUGCGUUUGUCAA
This is a long non-coding RNA of Manduca sexta (tobacco hornworm), 355 nucleotides long. RefSeq lists it as uncharacterized. Lineage: Eukaryota; Metazoa; Arthropoda; Insecta; Lepidoptera; Sphingidae. The transcript is spliced from 2 exons. The record is from RefSeq and is a predicted model, not a curated record.